This 726-nucleotide ribosomal RNA is filed under the name Streptomyces sp. Its description in RNAcentral is "bacterial SSU rRNA". It matches the Rfam family "Bacterial small subunit ribosomal RNA", at positions 137 to 876 of the family's 1533-position model. Lineage: Bacteria; Bacillati; Actinomycetota; Actinomycetes; Kitasatosporales; Streptomycetaceae. The record is from RNAcentral.
UCUGGGACAAGCCCUGGAAACGGGGUCUAAUACCGGAUACCACUACCGCAGGCAUCUGUGGUGGUUGAAAGCUCCGGCGGUGAAGGAUGAGCCCGCGGCCUAUCAGCUUGUUGGUGAGGUAAUGGCUCACCAAGGCGACGACGGGUAGCCGGCCUGAGAGGGCGACCGGCCACACUGGGACUGAGACACGGCCCAGACUCCUACGGGAGGCAGCAGUGGGGAAUAUUGCACAAUGGGCGAAAGCCUGAUGCAGCGACGCCGCGUGAGGGAUGACGGCCUUCGGGUUGUAAACCUCUUUCAGCAGGGAAGAAGCGAAAGUGACGGUACCUGCAGAAGAAGCGCCGGCUAACUACGUGCCAGCAGCCGCGGUAAUACGUAGGGCGCAAGCGUUGUCCGGAAUUAUUGGGCGUAAAGAGCUCGUAGGCGGCUUGUCACGUCGGGUGUGAAAGCCCGGGGCUUAACCCCGGGUCUGCAUUCGAUACGGGCUAGCUAGAGUGUGGUAGGGGAGAUCGGAAUUCCUGGUGUAGCGGUGAAAUGCGCAGAUAUCAGGAGGAACACCGGUGGCGAAGGCGGAUCUCUGGGCCAUUACUGACGCUGAGGAGCGAAAGCGUGGGGAGCGAACAGGAUUAGAUACCCUGGUAGUCCACGCCGUAAACGGUGGGAACUAGGUGUUGGCGACAUUCCACGUCGUCGUGCCGCAGCUAACGCAUUAAGUUCCCCGCCUGG